RNA transcript from Panicum virgatum (switchgrass), 4140 nucleotides. It is a transcript of the gene named disease resistance protein RGA2-like, with no coding region annotated. The transcript has 6 exons. Lineage: Eukaryota; Viridiplantae; Streptophyta; Magnoliopsida; Poales; Poaceae. The record is from RefSeq and is a predicted model, not a curated record.
UUCACUUAGUCAUCCUUAACUCCACCAGCAAAACCAAGCUACCAGACUCAUGGCCGGCUUCAGUAGUACUUCUUGGCCAUGACGACCUCACGUUGGAGCAAAAAGCCCUCCUGGUGAACCUCUCUUCACCACCAUCACCUCCGUCGAGCAGUAGCUGUGACUGCAGACGACAACCGUGUCGAAGCCAGAUCAGUCCACCUCCAACUCGCCGGCCUCAGUACAUCAUCAGUAUAAACAAGCAAAGAAAAAUCAAAACUUCAUCAUGGGACUUUAGCAUCUGUCUUUUUCCCCUCACGGGAGAUCACUGUUGUAACUAAAAAAAGGAUUCAAAUUAAGCUGACGGGGGAUCACUACCAAAGAGCUUAAGAUCCUGGACUGCACCCUCCCCCCUGCUAAUCAAGAAACCAGACACUGAUAUUCAUGGCGGGGGUCUUGGAUGCUUUGGCAUCCUACGUCCAGAACAUGCUUACGGAGAUGGCAAGGGAUGAGGUGCAUAUGCUGCUGGGAGUCACCGGAGAUAUCGAAAAGAUGGACAUCAAGCUCAAGGACCUCAAGAAUUUUCUCCUAGAUGCUGACAAGAGGAGCAUCACCGACCAGAGUGUGCAAGCAUGGGUACUAGAGCUUAGGGAGGCCAUGUAUGAUGCCACCAACAUCCUCGACAUUUGUCAGCUCAAGGCCAUGGAGCGGGGUCCAAGCCAUGAUGCAGGAUGCUUCAACCCCCUGCUAUUUUCUGCAUGCGGAAUCCCAUUCACACCUACAAGAUUGGCAGCUGCAUCAAGAACCUUAACCAGAGGUUAGAAGAUAUCAAGAAACGUAGCUUGGACUUCAACUUCAUCAACCUCAAUUCAUAUGCGGACUGUAGCAGGAGGGUGGCUUCCUCUCGCCUUGGUAGUCGUGAGACAUCUGGGAUCCUUGAUGAGUCAAGUUUGGUCGGUGAGAAUAUCGAGGAGGACACAAGACACUUGGUGGAGAUGCUAACAACAGUGGAGCUAUCAAAUUGUAAGAACAACAAAUUUUUGGUUUUCGCUAUUGUGGGAGUUGGAGGGAUUGGUAAAACAACCCUAGCUAAGAAGAUUUUCAAUCAUGACCUCAUCCAACAAGAAUUUACAAAGAAAAUAUGGUUGAGUGUGAACAAGGACCUCAGUGAGACUGAGCUAUUGAGAAGAGCUGUCAUUGAAGCUAAGGGUGACCCCCAAUCUGCUGGAAAUACUAGAGGUGCACUUGAGCGAGCUCUUAAGGAAGCCUUGAAUGGGCAAAAGACCUUAUUGGUGAUGGAUGAUGUUUGGAAGCAUCAAGUAUGGGAGGAUGUGCUCCAAACUCCCUUGGUCAGUGCUGCCCUAGCUCAUGGUAGCCGUGUCCUCAUCACCACAAGACAUGACGUGGUCGCAAGAGGGAUGAUGGCAACAAAACCCUACCACAAUGUCAAUAAACUUGAUCCCGAAGAUGCAUGGUUGUUGCUCAAGAAGAAGGUAGUUGGAAACGGAAAUGAUGAAGACCAGAUUGAACUGCUCAAGGAUAUUGGAAUGGAAAUUAUAACAAAAUGUGAUUAUUUACCACUUGCUGUGAAAGUAAUGGGAGGUCUCUUGCGUCAAAAAACAGCAAGGAGACGGGAGUGGAAAAAUGUCCUAAAUGACUCGAUAUGGUCAGUAUCCCAAAUGCCUGAAGAGCUGAACUAUGCAAUAUAUCUUAGCUAUGAAGAUUUAUGUUCUAGUUUGAAGCCUUGCUUUCUUCACUACUCACUCCUUCCCAAGAGCAGAGUGUUCUUCGCUUAUGAGAUCAUUGGCAUGUGGAUUAGUGAAGGAUUUGUUCAUGGAACCUCACGUGACUUGGAGGAAAUAGGAAAAGAGUACUACGAUGAGUUGAUACAGAGGAACCUUAUUGAGCCUGACAUACGCUAUGUUGAUAAAACAGUUUGCAAUAUGCAUGAUGUUGUCCGCUCAUUUGCUCAGUACUUGGCUAGAAAUGAAGCACUAGUAGCACAGAACAGGGAAACUAAUAUUGCUGACAAAAUCAAUUCACAAAAGUAUUUUCGCUUAUCGCUGGAAACAAGAGGAUCAGAAUCAGAUGAGUUAGAGUGGUAUUCAUUACAAGGACAGACAUCACUAAGAACACUAUUAUCAGUGGGGCCUAUAAAAAUCAAGCCUGGUGAUUCAUUCCUUGUUUUUUCAAAUUUACGGACACUACAUGUACAAGAAGCAAAUUUUGAUGCACUAGUUGAAUAUUUGAAUCAACUCAAACACUUGAGGUAUUUAUCCAUAGAAGGAACCAAUACAUCUAGGCUACCAGGAAGCAUUGGUGAGAUGAAAUUCCUGCAGUAUAUUAGCCUUUUUGGUUGUAAGAGUUUGGUAAAUCUUCCAAAUUCCAUUGUAACACUGCAACACUUGAGGUUUCUUAACCUUCGUGACACAGAAAUAAGACGGAUACCUAAGGAUUUUCAUGGUCUAACAAAUCUAAGGAAAUUAUAUGGGUUUCCAGCGCACAUGGAUGGUGAUUGGUGCAGUAUUGAAGAAUUGGGACCCCUCUGCCAACUAGCUGACCUUGAUAUAAGUGGCCUAGAGAAUGUGUCAUCAUCCUCAUUUGCAAAAAAGGCAAGGAUUGGUGACAAGGUGCGGUUGAGCCGUCUGUUCUUAGAAUGCACAAGUAGAAUUGAACAUGAUGGCCAGCUGGUAAAAGAUGAAGAAGGCAUUCCUGAGGAGCAGCAGCAACAAAUUGAAGAGGUAUUUAAUGAGCUCCAACCUCCGUCUGGCUUAGAAAACCUCAAAAUCAGAGGGUACUUUGGUCAGCGGCUCCCAAUGUGGAUGAUGUCGACAGCAGUUGUGCCCCUUGGGAGCUUGAGGAAUCUAACGAUCAAUGACCUGGCCAGCUGCACGGAGCUUCCUAAUGGCUUGUGUCAGCUCCCCUGCUUGGAACUCCUACAGAUUGUUCGUGCCCCAGCGAUCAAGCGUGUUGGGCCUGAAUUCCUACAACCGAACCAUCACUGCCACAACCAUUCCCAGGUAGGGGUCUCAUUUCCCAGAUUGAGUAAGCUGAUUUUUGUUGGACUGGUCGAGUGGGUGGAAUGGGAGUGGGAGCUGCAAGUGAAAGCCAUGCCCAUGUUGGAGACGCUUAAAAUCCAGAACUGCAAGUUGAGGCGCAUGCCUGCUGGCCUUGCCUUCCACACAAGGGCUUUGAAGAUAUUAGCCAUAUAUGGUGUCAAGCAGCUAAGCUGCUUGGAGAACUUUACUUCUGUUGUUCGCCUCGAUGUGUUUAGGAACCCUGACUUGGAGAGGAUCAGUAAUCUACCAAAACUACAGAAGCUCGUCAUCGUCAAGUGCCCUAAGAUGAAGGUAUUGGAGGGCAUGCCUGCACUACGGGCACUCAACCUGGAGGAUCAUGCCAUGGAAACAGUCCCCAGAUACCUGCAGGAUGUAAGUCCAACGCACUUGCUACUGUACUGCAGCUUAUCGCUGCUCACUUCCAUAGCAGCAGGGCAAACUGGUCCUGAGUGGGACAAGUUCAGACACAUCCAGCAAGUUAAGGCAUAUGCAAAUGAUGAAGGUGUUCCGAGGAAAUGGUACGUGCUCUACACGAGGCAUCCUUUCCACUUGGAGACAAAUAUCAGCCGCUCUGCUAUUGCCAAAGCAUCAGCGGCACGCAUCGACCAGAAGUUUUAUGCUUGCGACAAAACAAGUACCAUUGAAGAUGAGUGCAUGGUAGGACGAAAUGCAUCCGCUGACAAACGUCAGCCCCUCUGCCUCCGAUUCAGGUGCAUUGCUUAUCGCCAUUUGAUUUCCUGGUUGCGUCGAGCGUGCCUGCACUGCAGGGAAGCUGCCCACAUCGCCUCCAGUUCGGAUGAAUGGACCGAACCAGCAGUGUAUCGAGCGUGUACAAAACUCUUAGGAGGCAGAUAUACCAGGCACCAGCAACAAAAUGAAACAUCAAGAUUGUAAUGACAGAUCCAGUAGUCAUUGGAUGCGAGGAGUCCAGACUUGCACCAUCUGCCAAUGCAAGUGCUUGUAAAAAAACAAGACUGUUUUCAGUUAAUCUAUUUGUUUGCUUUCUUUACUUCCCACUAGUUAAUUGUUGCUCUCUGCGCCUGCGCACACUACGAAAUCAUUUCGUAUGGAACAUAUACAAGGUUUAUUUAGUUAUUAUUCAACU